CUUCUUCAAUGUCCUCCCCACAACGCAACCCCCCGCCGCCCGAUUCUGCCCUCCCUUUUCUCCGCUUCCCUCUUGGCAGAGGUGCCAAAGUGGGCAGGCAGACCGAGGCAAUCGCAUCACGGGGCAGAGCAGAGGGCGAACCAAAAGCUGGCGAAUUGAUCAUGUGUGUGUUUGUGUUUUGGUCUGUCCUCGCUCUCUUUCUGUAUGUGUCUGUUCCUAAGUUAGACUCUGCUUUGGUGACACGCAGCUGCAAGUAAGGACUGUGUGAGAGCAGACGUCCCUCUGUUACUCUCUGUACGGACGGACGUGCUCACGCCAGUAGGAGGGGAUUGUGGGAAAGGGGGUGUAGCUCUCAGAGGGUGCGCUCUACUCCUCUCGCUUCCCUUCUUCCCGCCAUCACGGCCCUCUUUUCAGCCAGUCGUCCGGCCCAGCCAGCCCGUCCGCCCGCCCGCCUCACCACAUACAGGCCUCAGGUGUCUAUUUGGAGGCUGGCGUUAGGAAUGGCAGGCCGUCUUGGUCACGUCUGACCCAAGAGGGUCGACUCAGCUAGACAGCCCCGGUCAGUAAAAGUUAACCGCUGAUCAACCAGUGGAAAAUCUUGUUCCUCGCCGCCAUUUUGAUAGCUAGCACAAAAAUAAUGACCCUGCACAUUAUUCCACUGCAAACCUGUGUGCACUGUCUCAAUGCUACAACUGUGAAGUGGCACCAGACUCAACACCACGUGCAUUUGUGCAAACAUGCGCUUAGUUUUAUCUCUCUGAAAUGCAGGGGUGUGGCAGUUCGCUAAAGGUCGGGUGUUUGUCCUGAAACAUUAACUCAGUCGAUAACAUAUAAAUAUCUAUGACACAGUUACAGAUGAAGGGAAACAUGCAGUAAUGAAAAUGAGUUCAAGUCGAUACUGGUAUGUCAAAAAGACUGCAAGUUCUUCUUUUUAGCUGUUAACAGUAAAGCAAAAGAUCAUCUGCUUUCAUAAUGAAAAAAAUAUCCUUUAUACACAGAGUCAUGUCUGUUUGUCUACUUCCUAAAAAUAGCCAUGAGAUUAAUGUUUAACUAUUAAGAACACCAAAACACGUCAGGCACCAGAAUAAGUUAAAAACGUGCAAAUACAGAUGCACGUUUUUAACGUGCAUCAGGAAAAGUUAAUUAACAAACAGCUUUUCUAUACUUACUUGCAGAACUAUAACGAAGUAUCGACAUGCAAAGUUUAGACUGUAUUUGAAUAUCCUAUUACCUUACUGUAUCUAGGUCUAAAUAGGGGUUGGCGUUAAAAUGGCGCCUACAUGCCACGUGUAAACACGAGCAGACCCUUUCAACAUGCCCCUCACAAUUCGUGGUUAAGCUGUUGCCAGUUUCUUUUCAUCAGGUUUUGCUAUUUCACUUUGCUUUGCAAUAAUUUAGGCUGCAAACUAAUGCUCACAAAUGUUAGCUAAUCAAUAAAAGAAACACUUUCAUUGGGGCAACUGAAAUAAGAGGAUCAUUUUAAAAAAGUAGUUUGAGAAAAAUAGAGAACAAGAGUUACAGUAGAGAGGCAGAAAGAGAGAGGUAGGAGUGGGAGAGCUCUUUCCCCGCCCCUCUCUUAUCCUCAGAUGAACUUAUCGUGUUGCCUCAUAAUGUUUCUGAGCUUUUUUCUCCUACAGGCAGUCAGGCUAACUUCCUGCAUUCAGCCUCAGCUCAGUUGAUUGGCUGAUAUCUUGGCUGACCGGCCACAGUUUGCAGCGAGGCAACAGGAAGUUUUUCUUCUCAUGCAGGAAGCUGCAGCUGUUUCAUCCUGACAUACACCACUUUGCACUUUUGCACGCUUCUGAAAAAAAAAAAAAAAACAGAAACAUGCACGCAAAUGCACACACCCGUUUUGAAAAGGAAUACCUGCCUAUAUGUGCUUUAUAUAUAUAUCUAUAUCUAUCUAUAUCUAUAUCUGUGUGUGUGUAUCAAGGCUGCAUGUGCAUGCAUGUUUAUAGAAUUUGUAAAUGCUUUAACAUGUAGGCGUGUAAUGACAAGUCAGAUAAGCACUGUUAGGCAUCAGAAACAUUUGAAACCAUGGUAACGUCACAUCUAAAUGGGGGAAAAAUUUAUAAAUUGAAAACCCUGAGAGAGGAAAGGAAGUGUAAAUGGAGAAGGCUAAAGUAUUAAAUGUUUUUAAAAGUUCUGAUGUGUAAAGGAAGAAAUAAACUUUUAAAGUAGGAGCAAACUGUUGUCAGAUGGCAUUAAUGGUAUAAUUAGAUGCCCGUUUAUUCUUCAUUAGAUUUUGGGACAUAUGCCUUAACCUACUUGAAACAUUUUAGUGUGUAUUUACUAUAUAUUUGAAUUAACUAUCACUAAGCCAAGUUAUUAAUAGACAUUGGCUGAAGUGAGGUUUUCAUGGCAUAAUAGCUUUGUGAAAAAUACCACAGUUUCAUGGUAUAAACUCAAUGUUUUAAAGCUAAAACAUGUCACAUCGUAAAUUUGAAUUAUAAAUUAAACUCUAAUCUGUUCAGUUAUGGGUGAGGCCUCUUUAACCCUCACACUUUGACUGUCCAUGUUGUUUACAUCCAUAAACAUUUCCAAACCGCCAUAUUUGUCCACUUUAGCAGCAAUGAAAAUGUGGAUUAGCCUUCAUUCCACCAGACGAUUGGCAGGCAACAGACUGUAUUACUCUUUGAUCCGUACAGAAAAAUUGUGUAAAAUUUGGCUGUUACCCAACAUUUUAAACACAAUUUUAUUUUUGUCAAGCUCAAAGUUGUCUUAAGAAGAGCUAUGUAGCUCGUAAACUGUUGUCGGACUGACUAACAAUUUUCAUUUACAAAACCGGCAUUUUGGGGACUGCUUUGAAAAACAAAAUGUAAUAGAGUGAGAAAGUAUGAAUAAUUUGUAAGCACUGUGAUAAUGCCAAAACCAAUUUACUGUUAGCCAGGAACAAUGCUAAUGGUAGUUUCAUCUAUUAAAAAAAACAGAAAACAGGAGUAUUGUGUGCUAGUAUAAGAAACAGCUUAGGUUGAAACAGACACAAACUAAGCACAAUAUCAAACUUGGACUGAAAUAUUUCACACUGAUUCCAGACUGUUUAGAGCGCAAUUUGUAAUCUGAGACAUCUUUAUUCUGUUUUGAAGUAAAACAUCGAUUCUUUAUUUCCAAAUAAGAAACUUCAAUAUUUCCUUGUUUUUUUCUUGUUAUUCAAAUAUUAUGCUUAGUCUUGUCAUCAUCAGCUGGAUCUUUCCCACACCCUACUGGAGUUUUAAGCAUUUUGAUAUGUUGACUUCAACAAAAAAUAGAAAACAUACCUGUUGCAUUGAUGCAUUUAUUUUGCAGGACAUUGUACUUUGCUAUUCUGUUUUUUACAGAGUAAUUACUCCAACAAUAACAUUUAGUUCAUUUAUAUAGAAGCCUUCACAACAAGGUAAUAUGAAGGCAAUUUACCAAAGAAAUCCCAGCUUUAUAGAUGGUAAUAAAUAGUCAGUUCUAUCAUUAAAACACAUUUAAAGUCACUUAUAGACAUUUAAAAUAGAUCGGUAAUAAAACAGUGCAGGCAAGUUCAGUUUAUUAUGACAAUUGGUAAGACCUUUUGUGUCUCAGGAAACCCAGCCAAAAGUAUUGAGUCUCUGACUUUGCAGCAAUCCCUGCUAGGGUGCUAGCAGGGUAAUUCCUCAGGCUGUCUUCAUGGCUGUCAUAGCUUGUCGACUGUAGCUGUAAACCAGCGUUUUGAUGGGCAUCACAACUUUAAUUUUAACUAUCCAUCGAUGGUUCAAAUGAGCCUUUUGUUCACAGUGAGUGAAAAGUUCAUUAGGCAUCUUUCAGCCAGCUAUCCAGCAGUGCGGAGCAACAUGUGGCAGGGACAAUGGUUUAUUAUUUCAUACUCCAUGCAGCUGGAAAAACUCUGAACACUCCAAGUACUUUAAAUAGGCUGAAAAGUGGGACGGACACUUGAGCUGUAACGUUUUAAAAUCAUUGUAUAUCAUUUACUGGCGUAAAAAAAGCUCAAGAGAUUUAAAUAUAUCGUCUAUAGUUUUAGUAAGCCUGGCACUAUUAUUGAACUGAAAGCAGAGAUGUGAAUACAUUUUUGUUGUCACAACUGUUUUAUAUUUGUAAUAAUUUUAUGUGCUGUUCCAGUUUUUAGUUUUUUUUCUUUGGUUGCUUGAACUAACACACCACAAAACCGACAUGAAUCUUUCGUGGUGUUCGGGAAGAACUAAGUGCUUAACAAUAUAUAAUAUUUUCCUUGAAAGUCUAUAAAUUUUCCUCCCUUAUGGGAGGUUUUUAUCUCUUGCUGAUGUCUCCAUCCAGCUUUUUCAUCUGUGUAAUUAUAUGUAGUUCUAUGCGGAAGAAUCUAAUAAAAUUAGCCAGUAAAGCACUAGCUCCUUAAAUGCAUUCAGAUGAGGCAACUGGCCUGUUUGUUUUUGUGUAAGCAAAUGCAUAUGGCCUUACACCCAUGUAUGUACAUACACAUAUGAGCCUGAGUUGUGUGAGUGUUUAGCCGGGUUGAUGAGGAUAUAAAGAACAUCAAAAGCGGGCACCAUGCCAGGUAGCAUGGAGGAGGCUUAGAGCACGCAUCCUUCGUUCUUAAGUGUAGGUGUGAGGCCUUCUUUGGAAGGGUAGGAAGAUGAAAUAUGCUGGUUUGACAAAUUCUUUGUAGCAUUUUUUUUAAAUAGAAGAUCAGAGGACCUGGCUGGUGUGAAACAAGACAUCCGUAUGCAUUUCUGUAACAGAGAGAUUUCUUCAUCCUUCCAUCUAUUGUGUGACAUGCUUCCUCUGCCAACACCAGCUCCCCCACUGAGCCUCCUCCUCCUCCUCUUUUUCCUUUUUUUUUUUUUUGCCCACCACCUCCUUACUCCUUAUUGAAAUUCUGCCUGGCAAAGAGACGCUGCCCAUUCUUGGCACAAAGCUCAGAGAGAGAGAGAGAGAGAGGGAUGGAGAGAGGCAGAGAGUGGGAAGGAAAAAACACACACACAAGAAUCUGCACCAAUCGUUGGGUCCCCCCCUUCUUUCUCCUCCUCCUCCUCCUCCCUCUCUUCCUCCUCCUCCUCCUCCUCCUCAGUGGCGUCUCUGUGCCAAGCAUUCAUCCCGUGUCGUGGACGAAGGGACCAGGCAAGUCAGUAGGUAUUUCCUUGCCUCUGCUUCCUGUAAUAAUCCGCUCCAAAUUUGAGGAGUUUUCUUGGCAGCUGAAUAUUCUGCGAGUACGUUUUUUUUUUGUUUUUUUGAGAGAGAGAGAUGGUUACUAAUUCAUUUGUAUAUUAGUUGAGGAGUAAAUCUUAACAAAUCCUGCCUCCAGGGGGGUGAGAGGAAGCUAAGGCCUUUUGUUACCAUGAUAUUUACUGAAUUUUGCAUGUAUUUCUUUUGAAGAGACAUUUUUUUUAAAACUGUGUUUGGACAGAAGGAAUAAUUCUAAUUGAAUCUUCGAGUUUGUAUAAUGUGCAGAUAAACAGACGUAAUUUGGUUUAGUACCAAUUGUAACAGCACACAUUUUUAAUUAUGAAAUAAAAAGAAAGAAAGGGAUUAAAUGACUUGCAACAAGAGCUUUACAGAAAUCUUUUACCAGGAUUUUAUUUUUUUCUAUCAGAUUGUCAUAACUUACAAGCAAAGCUUUAAUCUUUUUUACUCAAAAAGCAAUUUGUUGACUUUGAAGAUAUGGAAAGCUAUCUGCUGAGAAGAUCCUAAGAGAAACGAAUAAGAGUUGUAAGUCAUGCAGCUUUAAAAAAAAACAAACAAAAAAAAAACUUGUAUCUGUCAUCCAAAGACAAAUGAUUGCACUGAAACAGGAAAUUGUCUGCAGAAAAACAUUUCAUUCUGUCACAGCAGAGUGCUGAUAUCAGAGGGCAAGGGGGCAAAGAUUCAUCGUCCUUGACUCACUCCUAAUGCAAGCUUGAAGACUUGUAGCUUUUAUUCUGCAGCAACAGAUGCAAAGACAGUCAUAUGGACAAAUGAGAUUUAUACAUUUCGUCCCUCUCUCUUGUCUGAGACCCUGCCCAGCUGCCCAGUCGGGCUUUAGGGGGGCAUUUAUUCUGUAGCUGCUGACAGAAAAUGAUUUGCCUCAGCUGAGCUGGGCAUGCCCUCCUUUUCUUAUGUAGCUUAGAAAAUGUUUAUAGUCUCAGAAGAGCUUGUGUGACAGACAGGCUCUGGCCUUUACUUACCUUCUAGCCUUUCCCUUUCUAGAAUGGGACAGCAAUUAUUGGCAGUUUAACCCACAAGCAUUUAAUGUUUAGAAUCAAUUUAUUUGACUAAUUUUCCCCAAAUAAUCAGUUUGAGUUCCUCUCCAAGCCGUCUAGUCAGGGGGAUCGUUCUUGGCAAGCAAACGCAGUUCAUAGAUCUUCUACUAGCUCUUUUGCAGAGGUGGGCAUCAUGCCAGUUCCCUCACCACCACCCCCUCCACCCUGCCCCAUUUUUUUUUCCUGUCUGGUCUUCUGUGAUCAGGCUAGUGGGGUUUACAGCAUACUAACUGCAAACUAGUCUGGACCCAAGUCUCAGGGGUUGCGGCUGUAUGCUAAUUUAUGCAAGCGGUGCACCUUCUAACCCAUUCUGUGUCUUCUGAGGCCCCCCGGCCUGGCAUUUAGUCUGGUGCUUAUUAACUCUUCAGUUGCUGCCGUUUGAAUCUGUUGGCAUGCUUCGACCCCGAUCUUAGCCGAACGCGCCACAUGUGAGCGCUCCCUUCUCUAUGAACUGUCCAGCUGUCUAACAAGAAAUAGUUUCCUCUGCCUCAAUAUUGGUGAUUGAGCGUGUCGUCUGGGUCGGUUGGCUUCGGCUCACUGCUUGGCACAAGAUUCGUCCUCUGUAACUUGUGAUAGAACAGCUGUUCUCUCUUAAUUGUGAGGAUUGCAGGCUCAGGAAUGAAAAGGGAGAAGAAAAAAACAAAACAAAAAAACAAAAACGACACGCAAAGUGGAUCUCGUAAUGUUUUUAAGCAGACCUAAAAUGGCCGAAGCCUUGCAGGAUGCCAUUUUGUGUUUCCUCGUUGUGUUUUGGGGGCAGAAUCCCAGCUUUGUAUUCAAUCAGAGACAGCUGGUGGAAGCCGUUUUUUGCAGGCAUCUGUGUGUGCGUACCUCCGCCUGACAAGCAGCAGCCACUCCAACGCAGGGAUAGCCCCGCUGGAAUGAGCUCAGUUUUUGGCAAAACCGGAGAAGGAUUCCUGGCAGAGAAUCGAACAACUCUCUCUCUUUUUCUUUCCUCGUUCGAUCACAUGGCAGAGUCUCAGGAAGCUUGUGAGUUGUUUGCUGAGAUUUUGCACACUAGCGGUUACUUUCGCAUGUCCAUCUACCAUUAAAUUAGUUAUCCGUGAUUUAUUCUGUCGGGAACAAUGUUACAAAUUUCUCUUCAGCAACAAAAACGCUACACCGAUCAGUAAGAACAUGUGGUGCUCCUUUGGCCGUCUUUGGUUUGUAGUGAUUAUCGUUUUCUCAGUUUGUGGCUGUCGAAAAUUUAUCAUGAAGCAUCAACAGCUCCGAGAACCUGAUAUUUUCAAAGAAACUGCUUUAGGAACCGCCAAGAAAUUAGUUUCACUCUGUUCCACAAAGAAUUGUCUGUCAACAUUUCAUUGAAGAUGAACAUUUGUUGAAGUCACAUCCAGUAUCAUUUUCAAAAAUUAUUUAAUUAACAUUCUCUGUCUCUUUUUUUUUUCUAUAUCCUUGCAGGAGAGUGACAUUUGUGGAUCUUUGGUGUGGAUGCAGCAUAGAUUGUGUCCUUGGGGCUGAGGUAGUAGAUUGAAUAGUUGUGGGGUUCUUUAACCUCUUUUUCAGAUAACUAUGCAAUCUACUGUCUUUCCCAAGGAGACAGCUGAGCCAACCAGUCGUCAACUAUCGUCUAAAGAUGGACAAUGCUAUUGCCUUGUCAAAAUGCAUGCAGUAAUUGAUUUAAUAUAUAUAUAGAGGGUUAUUUUUAUUACUUCCUCAAUCAGUUUAUGUGCGGUGUGUUUGACUUGGGUUCUGUCAGGGUGAGGUAGUAGGUUGUAUAGUUUGGUAGGUGGGACUGCACCCUGCUGAGGUGAUAACUAUACAGUCUAUUGCCUUCCCUGAGGAGUCCACUGAACAGUUCAACACAAUCUCUUUGCAGGAAUGUUUUAUUUAUUUAUUUUUUUUCCAGACAACAUAAAGAAUAGGUAAAUGUCUUACAGGAGCAUUUAUAUGUAUUUUAUAGCUUUUUUUGUGGACAAAAGUUGUUACAUGCUUUAAAUAUGUACAUCUCAAUAAAACUAGUCUUUUCAAA
Long non-coding RNA from Xiphophorus couchianus (Monterrey platyfish), 8166 nucleotides. RefSeq lists it as uncharacterized. The record is from RefSeq and is a predicted model, not a curated record. NCBI's taxonomy places the organism in Eukaryota, Metazoa, Chordata, Actinopteri, Cyprinodontiformes, Poeciliidae. The transcript has 3 exons.